UGUCCAAUGCGGGAAUCGAACCCAGAUCGUAGUGGUCGAAAACCAAACGGUUUAACCAGCUUUCCAUCGAACCCCAAUUAAAC
This 83-nucleotide transfer RNA is filed under the name Cordylochernes scorpioides. RNAcentral describes it as "tRNA-Glu". The record is from RNAcentral. Lineage: Eukaryota; Metazoa; Arthropoda; Arachnida; Pseudoscorpiones; Chernetidae.